Molecule: long non-coding RNA, 5715 nt
Organism: Melospiza georgiana
Lineage: Eukaryota; Metazoa; Chordata; Aves; Passeriformes; Passerellidae
Exons: 10
Source: RefSeq, a predicted model, not a curated record
UGGAGUUCGGGGCGAGGCCGAGUGCCGCCGCUCCGCGCUCGGGACACUGUCGCGACACGCUCUCGGCCUCUGCCCGCGCAGUGCAUGGGGAGCAGAGGAGGGGAGCUGCGGCGAGAACUGAAGCUAAGAACAGAAUCCAAGGAAUUGUGAUUCCAUGGUCACACUUCACCCUGUGAUGCUGACAGGUUGACAGGUGAAAAAGGAGUGGAAGGUGCACGGGUCAAUUAACUUGAAUGGCCUAUGUAAAUCAGCGGCCACUGAUUUCCUGAAGGCUUCAACAGGUUUCACUGGAAGGGCAGAUGCAAAUCAUCUACCUAAAGUCUUGGCACAGAAGAAAGUAGUGGUUUGCUGCUGCAUAUAGCUAGAAGCUUACAAAAGGAAGGCCUUGGGCUGAGGCCCAUUACUUUGGCUAAGUAGAGAAGGACUGUGGGAAGGUGAGGCAGCUGAAUUCGAGGUAGAUCAGCAACUUCUAGAACUGUCGCAGUUGGCAACUCUAAAAUGAACCACAUGUCUGCAGUAUUUUAACAUGCACCAUAUUUAGCCAAGUAAUUCAAAACAACUAAAAAGCAGUCCCUUCAAUUUGGAAAUAGUUUUAAAUUGUUUUUGAAUAUACAAAACAUACCCUUACUGUACGCAUUGCAUGCAGAUUUAAUCGUCGUGAAAGCAAACCCUAUGUUUCUGUGGGGAUAGCACGACUUUCCACAGUUUUCCACAAUUGUUCUUGGCACAGUUUUCUACUUAUGUGUCUGUAACAACACUUGAAGGUACUUCUAAGGUACUGUAGUAAGCAGAAAAGGAGGAGAGGUUGUGCCUUAUUUCUGGCUUCCUUUGGUUUCCUGUUUGGUUUUCUUCCUCUUGCCAUCCUCAUGUUACUGUUCAAGAUACUGUAAUUUAGAUUUGCGGUUUACUAAGCUGUGUUUUUGUCUGGAAUUCUUGUAAAUGCCGAAAAGAACCCAAAAUGUAAAUAUACAUCUUUUUAUGAUUUGAUAGCUACAUAGAAAAUUUUCCUGCUGUUCUAAAAUGCUUUUAUUUGAUAUGCAUUUUUAUCACCAUUCAAAUGAAAAGAGAACGGUUCCUCUAGUCACUGCUUUUGUACUGGAUUCAGUUUGUGAAAUAUGAGAGUUAAUUCAUGCUGUAUAAGGAAAUGUAUGUAGUUAUAGAAUGUGGUAAAUGUAAUAGAAUAGACAUUUUAAAUGAAACAGACAAACUAACCUCCCCAGCCAAGAAGCAGUGUCCUAUUCAAAUUAUAACUAUUUCUGGGCAACACCAAGAUUGUAUCAAGCUGGCUUUACGUCUGAAUAGGACUGCCUUGGCCCAUUAUCGGUGAUUUCCUUAGACUCUGCACCUGGGAGAUAAACAUGGAGGCCUUCCUGGCUCAUAACUCCAGGAGUUUCACAAGACAUGGACAUACCAUGAUGGGCUUACAGGAACCGAUAUCAAGAUAUUACAUAUGAAAACCAGCUCUGCCUGCUUCCAGACUUCAUGUCUGCAAACCCGGGUCUGUCUAAAGAAAUGGAUUUGCAUUCGAAGAAAUGAAUAGAAAGGUGUGGUCAUCCAUGCCUCAGGCAGAAUAAACUGUAUACAAGCUGUACCGUGGAAGGCUUUGGUGUGGACCUCUGAGGAGACACUGCCACUUUGUUGGUUGACUCUUUGGUCUCACCCAGCGUCUGAUGCCGGGCUGAUGCUGUCUUGAUUGUGGAGGUUGCACGAAAUUCUAUUUUUUUUUUUGGUAAUCGACCAAUAAAUUAUUGUUAAAUUUUUGAUAAAUUUGGCUGGUGAUUUGAUAAUUUAUAACAAGUUCUAUGUGCAUUAAUAGUGCAAAAAAGUCCUGCUGGAAGAAAGGAUCUGCAUAGAAAUUCACCAAGACAUGUGCUACAAGGGUCUUGUAAAGGUUCAAAGUUUCUCUACCUGUCUGUCUUCACAGCAAGACUUGAGGAGGUAUUUUGCUAGCGUUUCUUUGACAGAAAGUGAUAGCAAAGCAAGCAAAUUGGAGCAGCAAAAGAAGAUAGCAGCAAAAGGCACAUUAUCUCCUCUGUUACUUAUCAUUGUCGAAACAAAUUUUUUCUCGCCAUGUUAAAUAAAAUAUCUUAGUAGAGCUAAAGACUAGAAAAAUGCAGCUCUGUUCUGGAUUCAUUAAAAGCAAAGCCAUCUGUGGACAGAAGUGCCCAGCGUGAUGCUGGGAACUCCUAGCUGGUUUCACUAAGCUGUCUGGAGAACUGCGUUUUUGGUGGGCUUUAGCUGCGUGUCUGUAAGGCAGGGAGUAUGUGCUCCCUUGAGCCCUGAGAGUGCCAUGGGCACAGAGACCCAUCGUGCAGCUCUCUGAACAGCCGCAGCUCACUGAGGCAUGAUGGAUUACUCCCAGAGUUCACGCGGUAGAAAGGUUUUCUGCCCCCGUGAAAGACGACACGUCCAUUUUCUUGCAUAGAGCCAUUCUGUAUGUUACAAUGGUACCUUGAAUUCAUCAAGUGCUAUUUACACAAUGGCCAGUGAGCUUGGAUUCUUAAGCUUCUCAUGUUUGAUCUGUUUCCCGUUUCAGUAAAUAGCAAAACUUCCAAGGACUGCAAUGACAAGAAGAUGAAGCUGCUACCGUAUUUCAAAUGUUUGCCUAAUAAGAUGGUGAUUCUUGCGCAUAUUGGCAAUGGUAAUUUCGGGUACUGAAACACCGGCUCUGCUCAGGGCAAUUCUGAAAUUGACUUGAGCUGUUUUCCAUGUUUCUUAGCAGUGAACUGAAACACUUCUAGCUUUCAAGGCAAGGCGUUUGACAGCAGCCUCAAAGAGGCUCAGGCUGUUGGAUGAGAAGGUGAAAAAACUGAGGUGAAUGGGGGGAAAUUUCACUUCUGGUACAUGUCAUAGAUUCAGCCAGAUGAUCAACAAUCAUUAGUUUAAUGAGGUUUUAGUUUUUGUGCGGGUUUUUUUGGGGCAUUUAUUUUUGAGGAUUUUUCGAAGGCGAUCCCCUGUUCUUUUUUGCCUCCCCUCCCUCAAGGCGAGGCGGCAGCCUCCUGCUGUGGCCGGCGACAGUGCUGCCGCCUUUUGGACAGAGAGCAGUACUGCAGCCCUCGAGCCAGCGCCCUGCCCCUCGCCGCUGGGUGCCGGGGGGCGGGGGAAGGACGUGGCUGCCGAGCGAGGGAAGGGCGCGGGGCGGGGUCUGUAAAUGGUGCCAUGCUGCUGCGGGAGGAGAGAGCGUGAGCUCCAAAGCCCUGAGCAGAGCGCUGGGAAACGGGAGGCGAGGAAGGCUUGGGCUAAGGAUGGGUUGAAACGGGGCUGGCUGGUAGUGCAUGGACAGACAUUUGUCAUUCACGCUGCCAAAAUGAACACCUGGUACAUCCUAGGUCUUCCUUGUGUUUCAUGUGUUUUUAUUUCAUAUUCAUGUCAUCACAAAAAGCAAGGAUGGAGUAGAUGAGACUGGUCCCCACUAUUGCUGUGUGAAGGCUUUUUACAGGCUACUGUAUUUAUGUUCUCUUUUUUUCACUCCAAGCUUGACUUUGUCCGUCGUUUUCCCAUGUCUGCUGCAUUGGGUGUCCCCGGGAGGGCUGGAUUCCUCGUCAGGGGUCUUAGGAGUUGCUAUUAAUUCUGAUUUUUCUGAAGGUGUAUAGAAGUGUGCUAUUGAAACAGCUCUUUUCUCUCCUGAAAAGCUUUCCAUCUAUGACCACCCAUGCGUUUUAAUAAUGUAGCCAGUUGCACUAAGGUUUUUACUUUCCAAGCCAAAACCUGUCACAGAUGACUGUUUGCUUUGUGUCUGUGAGAAGUGGCAUUUGUGCUGGAGAGCUGCACCUAGGAAGAAAAGAUGGAUUAAAUGUGCUCUGGGGAUGGAUGGACAUGGAAAGAAACACUUGCACAGAAAGGCAAAGCAGUGAUGAUUCUAGAGGAAAAAUGAGAGGUGAUUGCUUCUGAUCCAUAGGGGCUUUCCUUUGGAAUAUCGAUCAGAGAGUGUAUGGAAGCAGAGAGCGUAUUCUGGUUAUUUCUACUCUAUAAACUUCUCUCUGGCUUCACAGGUCUGUGCUGGAGAGUGGGAGAAAGGUCCCUGCUGCUUGCUGUAUCUUCAGCGGGCAGAGAGCUCUGACCUUGGCCGGAUGGGCUGUUGCUGCAUUUCUUGGAUGCUGUGCAGGACAGAAUCAGGCAGCCAAACCUCAGGUCCACCUUCUCCCUGACCCUCUACAUUGAUCGUGUGGCACAGCAGAUCCUGAAGCCAGAGCACGAGUGGAUUCUCAGAUUUCUUGGAGAAGGGCUGCGUGACAAAUAUUGCUAUGAGCUUUAUGACUACCAGAGGGUUUUCUGGGUCAUUCUAUCCUUUCUCAACACUCCUUUGUGUGACAAGGGCUCCCAGUGUCGUAUUCUGGAGAUACUGCAAAGUGCUGCCUGUGUCGCCCGAGCUGCCUAUGAGCUGAUAGAGGAUCACAGCCUCCUCACAUGGGUCAUGAACAGCUUAGAGAAAAGGUUUCUGGAGAACAAGGUGAUAAAUAAAAUUAUUUCCUUACUCCAUACUCUAUGGGUAAUAAAUUUAAGAGACAAGAGAAAACAAGAAUCAAUCCCAGAAGAACAGCAAACUUCUUCUUAAUAAGCUUGUAAAUGAAUUUCUAUGUGUUUUGGUCACGUUAAUCAAACAUAUUUGCAGGGAGCUGCUGCUGCUGCACAAGUGGAGUCUUGUCAGCAAAGACCUGCAGCUGCAGAACAACCUGCAGGCCCUGGCUCAGAAGUACCAAAACAAAGAAUUGCUCAAAAAUAUUAAGGGCAAGAACAAACCUCAAGCCUCAUCUCCUGUGUAUGGUCACACUUGGAAAUGGAACAAGGUGGGAGAAGAUGACACUGCUGCAGACAUGGAAGGGUCUGAGCUGGAGAAAGCAGAGACCAUCUGAAUUCCAUACUUGCCCAUUGGGACCCUCUUUUCCCAGCACCACCCUCCACACAGAGAGGGGAGACCCUCAGAGCCAGUGAAGGUGGGGGUGAGGCAGUGGCUAUCACCUGUGCAUCCACUCAUGCCUUCACUGAGUAGCUGGUGAGGUCCCUGGCUGAGCAGAGCCCCCUCGGGGAGCAGGACAUGUCACCAGUGCUGAGGUGGCUGCGGAACCGCGUCCUACCACACCCAACAGCUGUGCGGAAGAUGCUCAGGGAUGAGACUGAGGAACGACCUUUUCAAGCUUUACACCCGGCUCUGCCAGGCCAGCAGCACCUCAUCCGGGCUCUCCAGGCAGCUUGGUGGGCUCAGUUCCAUCAAGCUCCAGCUCAUGGAGGAGCAGGUCCUGUCCAGCACCUUCCACAAGCUUGUGAAAUCUCUGUGCCUAUCAGCAAUGGUGGAAGAGGAUGUGCACAAGACAGCUGCUUCUGUAUUCCUGACUUCCCUUCACAUCGGGGACAUGUGGCUUGGAGCACAGGACCCGGAUAUGUCACUUACCUGUGUCAGAUUGGUGGAGGUUGCAAAUUACAGAGUGACUUGGAGACUCAGAAACAAAGGAAAGAAACUGUUAUGUCUCUUAGCAAAAAAAUUUGUCUACAUCAGGGCAUUAAUUCAGGGGACUAACAUUCAUCUUUAAUGUUCUUCUGUGCUCUGCCCUCAUCACCGUGAGCUGUGAAAGCCUCCUGAGCUGCUCUCAUACAGACCUACCUUGUCUGGUCAUAAAAAUCAGUAUUUUAUUCCUGUGUGCAAACUCAGGGGGAAGAUUUUAUUCAACAUCUCUCAGUGGGACAUUAAAGCUCCAAUUUCCCUUUUCUUGAACAGUU